GGCCCCAUCGUCUAUCGGUUUAGGACGCUACCCUUUCAAGGUGGAGAGACGGGUUCGACUCCCGUUGGGGCUAUCA
This 76-nucleotide transfer RNA is filed under the name Gemmatirosa kalamazoonensis. Its description in RNAcentral is "Gemmatirosa kalamazoonesis tRNA-Glu". It matches the Rfam family "tRNA". From Rfam's summary of the family: Transfer RNA (tRNA) molecules are approximately 80 nucleotides in length. The record is from RNAcentral. Lineage: Bacteria; Pseudomonadati; Gemmatimonadota; Gemmatimonadia; Gemmatimonadales; Gemmatimonadaceae.